Molecule: non-coding RNA, 101 nt
Organism: Ricinus communis (castor bean)
Lineage: Eukaryota; Viridiplantae; Streptophyta; Magnoliopsida; Malpighiales; Euphorbiaceae
Source: Rfam
AAAUCAAAUGAGGAAUUUGGGUUUUAGAUUUCUCACGAUGGUCAUCUGAGACAAUUUACUAUUGUCGAAGCUGAUUCCAUAAUUCAAUGCUUCUGAUGAUU